UCACAACAUAGGAAUAACCAUUUAUAAGCUACCCUUAACAAAGUUUAUUAACGAAAAGAAUGGAGUCAUAUGAUGAAAUCCAACUAAUUCUAGAAAAACUAAUGGAAACAAUAAUUCAAGAAUAUGAUGCAAAAUUUAGAACGAAAUAAAAUUUAUGACCUUGAUAAGCAGAACCCUAAACAUAAAGGAGAAUUAAAAACACUGACAGAGCAUAGUGCAAUUCCAAGAAGACAAAUAUAGCUAAACUAGCUUGAAGCAACCACUAUUAUACUAAAAG
Molecule: unclassified non-coding RNA, 277 nt
Filed under: Hevea brasiliensis (rubber tree)
Lineage: Eukaryota; Viridiplantae; Streptophyta; Magnoliopsida; Malpighiales; Euphorbiaceae
Source: RNAcentral